AGCAGAAGACCUUCUCACUGCCUUGGCCUAGCCUUUGUGGAAGGUGAAUACCUGAAAGACUCCACACAUUAAAAAGGUUUGCUGACCACUGCAGACAGUGCUUUACAGGCAGUCCUGUCUUCCAAGAUGACAACAGCAGAUGUGUGCAGUUGAAGGCUGAUUUCACACUUUGAAAGCAGAAAGCUUUUGUUAUAACAACUUCUCUCUGUGGAAGUAAUUGACUUUGGAAGUGAUGAAUCUGGAAAUAUUUAACCCCCCAGGCUUGAAGGAAAAAAAGUCCUUCUUUAAUGGAGUAAAAACGUGCUACAUCUUUGUAUUGAACAUGAGGUAAAAAUACUUUUGUUCCCAUAUUAUUUUCACAGCAACUGAAUAAAAGCAAGAAUAUGUAUUUCAUCUUUCUAUCAGUAGCUGGAGUCUGCCUGUUAAUUCCACCUUGCUCAGAUUUUUAAAGAAGGAAAAGAAGCUAUCCAGACUUUGAAAGCACUAGAUAAAUAUUUGUCAGAAUUAUGAGUUAAUUAAAAUCAUAUUACAGUCAUAUACUCUAAAGGAUCAAAGUACUUUUACACAUGUAUGUGCAAAGAACAUUCAGGAGUUUGUGAAAUCUACUUUUGAAAAUGCAGCUGUUUCUAGGGUGAAAUGUAGCAACUAAUUAAUUGUAAAAGUACACAAUAGCUUAAAACAGCAGGUGGAUAAAACUUUUUCCUGUCACAGCUGUGGCAUAAUAUAAUCAGACAAAAUGCAAUUAUCCAGUUGGAAUUUGAGAAAGAUCUUAUAAUUAACGUAACUAUUUUUCUAAAGAAAAUCUUUGGUGGAUGUACAUGCUGUAAAGAAAACUAGAAAUACUUCAAAGAGGCUUGAUACAUCAGGGCUUUGGUUUUGUUUUCACUGAAACAAACCAAAAUCAAGGUAUCCUCUUCUCACUAAGAAGAAAUAUUGGUUGAUCUACAACUUAAAUAUUCACUUUUAACUUCUUUAUUUCUAAAUUUGUCUUGCUAAUAUCUUCCUUUGGGUUCUGUAAUCAUAUUCUGAUGGA
Long non-coding RNA from Cygnus atratus (black swan), 1033 nucleotides. RefSeq lists it as uncharacterized. Lineage: Eukaryota; Metazoa; Chordata; Aves; Anseriformes; Anatidae. The record is from RefSeq and is a predicted model, not a curated record. The transcript has 3 exons.